Molecule: non-coding RNA, 561 nt
Organism: Cicer arietinum (chickpea)
Lineage: Eukaryota; Viridiplantae; Streptophyta; Magnoliopsida; Fabales; Fabaceae
Source: RefSeq, a predicted model, not a curated record
AAUUAAGGCGGAACGAAAAAGACAAGAAGGUAAAGCCAAACACCGGCCCCUCCCAUUCCCAUUUCUCACUCCCUACACCCACCACCAUCUUUGGCGACCUCUUUUCAUCCAUCAAUCGCCUCUUGUUUCCUCCAACCACCACUUUCCUCUUUUCCAUCAUCAUCGUCAGUUUCUCAUUCUCUCCGUCACUCUCCUCAAUCACAUUCUCUCUCUCUUUCUCAUUGCAGGUUCAAAACUCGCUGCGGUUACUCAUCUCUUGAAGUUAAAGAUGUUAGCUAUCAACCUCCAGGGACUCAGCUUAAGCUUCUGAAUUCAGUUAGUUUUUCACUUCCGGAGAAAAGUUUUGGUCUAAUUUUUGGACAGAGUGGAAGCGGAAAAACAACUCUCUUGCAGCUUCUUGCAGGAAUAAGCAAACCAACAUCUGGAUCUAUUAACAUCCAAAAUUAUGGGGAUGAUGGAAAUCCUAGUCAAUCUCCAGAGCCCUUGGUGCCGGAAAGGGUUGGUAUUGUCUUCCAGUUUCCGGAGAGGUACCGAUAUAAAACUAAUUGAAUAAGAGAUUUU